GACUACAGGGGUAUCUAAUCCUGUUUGCUCCCCACACUUUCGCGCCUCAGCGUCAGUUACAGUCCAGUAAGCCGCCUUCGCCACUGGUGUUCCUCCCGAUCUCUACGCAUUUCACCGCUACACCGGGAAUUCCGCUUACCUCUCCUGCACUCAAGCCCGACAGUAUCCAAAGCAAUUCCCACCUUAAAAGCAGGACUUUCACUCCAGACUUACCAGGCCGCCUACGCGCCCUUUACGCCCAAUCAUUCCGGACAACGCUUGCCCCCUACGUAUUACCGCGGCUGCUGGCACGUAGUUAGCCGGGGCUUCCUUCUUGGCUACCGUCAUUAUCUUCACCAAGGAUAGAAGUUUACGAUCCGAAAACCUUCUUCCUUCACGCGGCGUUGCUGGGUCAGGGUUUCCCCCAUUGCCCAAUAUUCCCCACUGCAGCCCCCCGUAGG
This 440-nucleotide ribosomal RNA is filed under the name uncultured Bacillota bacterium. RNAcentral describes it as "uncultured Firmicutes bacterium partial 16S ribosomal RNA". The record is from RNAcentral. Lineage: Bacteria; Bacillati; Bacillota.